Molecule: transfer RNA, 70 nt
Filed under: Paralvinella sulfincola
Lineage: Eukaryota; Metazoa; Annelida; Polychaeta; Terebellida; Alvinellidae
Description: tRNA-Arg
Source: RNAcentral
GGGUGAACGGCACGGAUUGUGCGACUUGGUUUCGGCCCAAGAAGAAAGGGUGAAACUCCCUUUUCACCUG